AUACUUAUUGGCAGGGGAGGUACCAGAUCACAAAGGUGGUUUUCCCUGGGCAAGGCUUACCAGUCAUUACACUCCAGAUGUGCUGACCCCUGCGAUUUCCCCAAAUGUGGGAAACUCAACCACAGAAUUUUUUGUAGGGGAGACUGUUUGCACUCUUCCUUA
This is a small nuclear RNA of Sorex araneus (European shrew), 162 nucleotides long. Its record names the gene U1. It matches the Rfam family "U1 spliceosomal RNA". From Rfam's summary of the family: U1 is a small nuclear RNA (snRNA) component of the spliceosome (involved in pre-mRNA splicing). Its 5' end forms complementary base pairs with the 5' splice junction, thus defining the 5' donor site of an intron. The record is from Ensembl. Lineage: Eukaryota; Metazoa; Chordata; Mammalia; Eulipotyphla; Soricidae.